CCUACGGGAGGCAGCAGUGGGGGAUAUUGGACAAUGGGGGAAACCCUGAUGCAGCGACGCCGCGUGAGUGAAGAAGUAUUUCGGUUUGUAAAGCACUAUCAGCAGGGAAGAAAGAAAUGACGGUACCUGAGUAAGAAGCCCCGGCUAACUACGUGCCAGCAGCCGCGGUAAUACGUAGGGAGCAAGCGUUAUCCGGAAGUACUGGGUGUAAAGGGAGCGUAGGCGGUCAUGCAAGUCUGGAGUGAAAGGCGGGGGCCCACCCCCCGGACUGCUCUGGAAACUGUGCAACUGGAGUGAAGGAGAGGCAGGCGGAAUUCCUAGUGUAGCGGUGAAAGGCGUAGAGAUUAGGAGGAACACCAGUGGCGAAGGCGGCCUGCUGGACUGUAACUGACGUUGAGGCUCGAAAGCGUGGGGAGCAAACAGGAUUAGAUACCCGGGUAGUC
Molecule: ribosomal RNA, 443 nt
Filed under: uncultured bacterium
Lineage: Bacteria
Description: partial 16S ribosomal RNA
Rfam family: Bacterial small subunit ribosomal RNA
Source: RNAcentral